CAGCCGCCGCGGUAAUACGUACUCCGCUAGUGGUGUUCUCUAAUAUUGGGCCUAAAACGUCUGUAGCCGGUUCAAAAAGUCUUCGGUGAAAUCGCCCAGCUUAACUGGGCGAAAUGCCAAAGAUACUGUUGAACUCGAGACCGGGAGGUGUGAAGGGAAUUUCCGGGGUAGCGGUGAAACGCUAUGAUCCCGGAAGGACCACCAGUAGCGAAGGCGCUUCACAAGAACGGUUCUGACGGUGAGAGACGGAAGCUGGGGGAGCGACCCGGAUUAGAUACCCGGUUAGUCCCAGCCGUAAACGAUGUGGACUAGGUGUUCCAAUUCCGCAUGGAAUGGGAGUGCCGAAGCGAAGGCGUUAAGUCCACUGCCUGGGGAGUAAGGUCGCAAGGCCGAAACUUAAUGGAAUUGGCGGGGGCGCACUACAAGGGGUGGAUGCUGCGGUUUAAUUGGAUUCAACGCCAGACAACUCACCAGGGCAGACAGCAGAAUGAUGGACAGUCUGAAGGGCUUUCCUGACGCGCUGAGAGGUGUUGCAUGGCCAUCGUCAGCUCGUACUAUGAAGCGUCCUGUUAACUCAGGUAACGAGCGAGACCCAUGCCCUUAGUUGCUAUUCUUCCUUUUGGAAGGAGCACUCUAGGAGGACUGCUUGCGCAAGCAAGAGGAAGGAGUGGGCAACGGUAGGUCUGUAUGGCCCGAAUGCCUUGGGCUACACGCGGCAUACAAUGGUUGAGACAAUGAGUUCCGACUCCGAAAGGAAUAGGGUAAUCCCCCUAAACUCAACCUUAGUUCGGACUGAGGGUUGCAACUCACCCCUCAUGAAGCUGGAAUCCCCAGUAAUCGCAUGUCAUUAUCGUGCGGUGAAUAAGUCCCUGCCCCNUUGCACAC
Molecule: ribosomal RNA, 885 nt
Filed under: uncultured archaeon
Lineage: Archaea
Description: bacterial SSU rRNA
Rfam family: Archaeal small subunit ribosomal RNA
Source: RNAcentral